Molecule: ribosomal RNA, 2992 nt
Filed under: Salmonella enterica
Lineage: Bacteria; Pseudomonadati; Pseudomonadota; Gammaproteobacteria; Enterobacterales; Enterobacteriaceae
Description: 23S ribosomal RNA
Rfam family: Bacterial large subunit ribosomal RNA
Source: RNAcentral
GGUUAAGCGACUAAGCGUACACGGUGGAUGCCCUGGCAGUCAGAGGCGAUGAAGGGCGUGCUAAUCUGCGAUAAGCGCCGGUAAGGUGAUAUGAACCGUUAUAACCGGCGAUUUCCGAAUGGGGAAACCCAGUGUGAUUCGUCACACUAUCAUUAACUGAAUCCAUAGGUUAAUGAGGCGAACCGGGGGAACUGAAACAUCUAAGUACCCCGAGGAAAAGAAAUCAACCGAGAUUCCCCCAGUAGCGGCGAGCGAACGGGGAGGAGCCCAGAGCCUGAAUCAGCAUGUGUGUUAGUGGAAGCGUCUGGAAAGGCGCGCGAUACAGGGUGACAGCCCCGUACACAAAAGCGCAUGUGCUGUGAGCUCGAUGAGUAGGGCGGGACACGUGGUAUCCUGUCUGAAUAUGGGGGGACCAUCCUCCAAGGCUAAAUACUCCUGACUGACCGAUAGUGAACCAGUACCGUGAGGGAAAGGCGAAAAGAACCCCGGCGAGGGGAGUGAAAAAGAACCUGAAACCGUGUACGUACAAGCAGUGGGAGCACAGGUUUACCUGUGUGACUGCGUACCUUUUGUAUAAUGGGUCAGCGACUUAUAUUCUGUAGCAAGGUUAACCGAAUAGGGGAGCCGGAGGGAAACCGAGUCUUAAUUGGGCGUUAAGUUGCAGGGUAUAGACCCGAAACCCGGUGAUCUAGCCAUGGGCAGGUUGAAGGUUGGGUAACACUAACUGGAGGACCGAACCGACUAAUGUUGAAAAAUUAGCGGAUGACCUGUGGCUGGGGGUGAAAGGCCAAUCAAACCGGGAGAUAGCUGGUUCUCCCCGAAAGCUAUUUAGGUAGCGCCUCGUGAAUUCAUCUCCGGGGGUAGAGCACUGUUUCGGCUAGGGGGCCAUCCCGGCUUACCAACCCGAUGCAAACUGCGAAUACCGGAGAAUGUUAUCACGGGAGACACACGGCGGGUGCUAACGUCCGUCGUGAAGAGGGAAACAACCCAGACCGCCAGCUAAGGUCCCAAAGUCAUGGUUAAGUGGGAAACGAUGUGGGAAGGCCCAGACAGCCAGGAUGUUGGCUUAGAAGCAGCCAUCAUUUAAAGAAAGCGUAAUAGCUCACUGGUCGAGUCGGCCUGCGCGGAAGAUGUAACGGGGCUAAACCAUGCACCGAAGCUGCGGCAGCGAACGUAUCACCCAAGACAACUUUACGGAGUUGACGAUUGACGGAGCGAAGCGACGUCAAAGCGUUCAUUAAAGUCGAGUUGGCUUAGGGAUACGUUCGUUGGGUAGGGGAGCGUUCUGUAAGCCUGUGAAGGUGUGUCGUGAGGCAUGCUGGAGGUAUCAGAAGUGCGAAUGCUGACAUAAGUAACGAUAAAGCGGGUGAAAAGCCCGCUCGCCGGAAGACCAAGGGUUCCUGUCCAACGUUAAUCGGGGCAGGGUGAGUCGACCCCUAAGGCGAGGCCGAAAGGCGUAGUCGAUGGGAAACGGGUUAAUAUUCCCGUACUUGGUGUUACUGCGAAGGGGGGACGGAGAAGGCUAUGUUGGCCGGGCGACGGUUGUCCCGGUUUAAGCGUGUAGGUGUGUGUUCCAGGUAAAUCCGGUUCACUUUAACACUGAGGCGUGACGACGAGGCACUACGGUGCUGAAGCAACAAAUGCCCUGCUUCCAGGAAAAGCCUCUAAGCAUCAGGUAACACGAAAUCGUACCCCAAACCGACACAGGUGGUCAGGUAGAGAAUACCAAGGCGCUUGAGAGAACUCGGGUGAAGGAACUAGGCAAAAUGGUGCCGUAACUUCGGGAGAAGGCACGCUGACACGUAGGUGAAGUGAUUUACUCAUGGAGCUGAAGUCAGUCGAAGAUACCAGCUGGCUGCAACUGUUUAUUAAAAACACAGCACUGUGCAAACACGAAAGUGGACGUAUACGGUGUGACGCCUGCCCGGUGCCGGAAGGUUAAUUGAUGGGGUCAGCGUAAGCGAAGCUCCUGAUCGAAGCCCCGGUAAACGGCGGCCGUAACUAUAACGGUCCUAAGGUAGCGAAAUUCCUUGUCGGGUAAGUUCCGACCUGCACGAAUGGCGUAAUGAUGGCCAGGCUGUCUCCACCCGAGACUCAGUGAAAUUGAACUCGCUGUGAAGAUGCAGUGUACCCGCGGCAAGACGGAAAGACCCCGUGAACCUUUACUAUAGCUUGACACUGAACAUUGAGCCUUGAUGUGUAGGAUAGGUGGGAGGCUUUGAAGUGUGGACGCCAGUCUGCAUGGAGCCGACCUUGAAAUACCACCCUUUAAUGUUUGAUGUUCUAACGUGGACCCGUAAUCCGGGUUGCGGACAGUGUCUGGUGGGUAGUUUGACUGGGGCGGUCUCCUCCUAAAGAGUAACGGAGGAGCACGAAGGUUGGCUAAUCCUGGUCGGACAUCAGGAGGUUAGUGCAAUGGCAUAAGCCAGCUUGACUGCGAGCGUGACGGCGCGAGCAGGUGCGAAAGCAGGUCAUAGUGAUCCGGUGGUUCUGAAUGGAAGGGCCAUCGCUCAACGGAUAAAAGGUACUCCGGGGAUAACAGGCUGAUACCGCCCAAGAGUUCAUAUCGACGGCGGUGUUUGGCACCUCGAUGUCGGCUCAUCACAUCCUGGGGCUGAAGUAGGUCCCAAGGGUAUGGCUGUUCGCCAUUUAAAGUGGUACGCGAGCUGGGUUUAGAACGUCGUGAGACAGUUCGGUCCCUAUCUGCCGUGGGCGCUGGAGAACUGAGGGGGGCUGCUCCUAGUACGAGAGGACCGGAGUGGACGCAUCACUGGUGUUCGGGUUGUCAUGCCAAUGGCACUGCCCGGUAGCUAAAUGCGGAAGAGAUAAGUGCUGAAAGCAUCUAAGCACGAAACUUGCCCCGAGAUGAGUUCUCCCUGAGACUUAGAGUCUCCUGAAGGAACGUUGAAGACGACGACGUUGAUAGGCCGGGUGUGUAAGCGCAGCGAUGCGUUGAGCUAACCGGUACUAAUGAACCGUGAGGCUUAACCUU